GUGAAGAACGCAGUGAAAUGCGAUACUUGGUGUGAAUUGCAGAAUCCCGUGAACCAUCGAGUCUUUGAACGCAAGUUGCGCCCGAAGCCAUUAGGCCGAGGGCACGCCUGCCUGGGCGUCACACGUCGUUGCCCCCCCAUCUACUCCUUCGGGAUUGCGGGGGGCGGAUGAUGGCCUCCCGUGCGCCACGCCGCGCGGUUGGCAUAAAUGCCAAGUCCUCGGCGACGCACGCCACGACAAUCGGUGGUUGCGAAACCUCGGUUGCCCGUCGUGUGCGGUCGUCGCGCAUCGAGGGCUCGAAAAAAUUGCCGGGUUCCGGCUCGGCUUUCAACGCGACCCCAGGUCAGGCGGGGUUACCCGCUGAAUUUAAGCAUAUCAAUAAGCGGAGGA
This 390-nucleotide unclassified non-coding RNA is filed under the name soil metagenome. RNAcentral describes it as "partial contains 5.8S ribosomal RNA, internal transcribed spacer 2, and large subunit ribosomal RNA". The stretch from base 2 to 121 matches the Rfam family "5.8S ribosomal RNA", at positions 37 to 154 of the family's 154-position model. The record is from RNAcentral.